CCAACAUAUGAAUAAACUGACUAAAUUCCAUAUUUUACACAUCUUCUUGAGGAGCUUGAGGAGGACUAUAGGGGACCGGUGGAACUCCACAAGAAUAAUCAGAAACUAGACUCCUAGACCGGGUUUGUACCCCAUAAGCAUGGUGUGUCCCAUUAGUGUUGUCCUCAAGUAGGAUAAAGGAAUUUCCAUGAUCUUCAGAUCAUCUGGGAGGCGUGAUCUGAAAGAGAACAUGUGGGAAUUAGAGAGACUCAAGACCUUAGACUCUAUAGCUUGAAACAGAACAACAAGAAAGAGAAACAUUCCUGCAUGCCUCAUAGACUCUCCGUUAUAAGUGU
Molecule: long non-coding RNA, 335 nt
Filed under: Capsicum annuum
Lineage: Eukaryota; Viridiplantae; Streptophyta; Magnoliopsida; Solanales; Solanaceae
Description: long non-coding RNA (CANN_LNC015997)
Source: RNAcentral